UGCAUAAAAUAAGUCCUAUCAGUUCACCCCUCCUCCCAUGUGCCUCACAGUAAAAUCAGAAGUCUUCAGGGGCCUCCCCCAGGUCCUUUCUGAUCUGGCCUUGUCUUAUCUCACUAAUGUCAUCUCUUGUCCUCCCUAGUUUACUUGGCUCCAGCUACCCUGGUCCCUUGCGGCUCCUGGAAUACUGUAGGUGUGCUUCCACCUAAGGACCAGGUCCUGCUGACCCCUCUGCUUAGAAUGCCCAUCCUUUCCCUGCCCUGUUGGCUAACUCACUCCACCCCUUUAAAUCUUUGCUUAAAUGUCACCAUUUUAAUGAGUCAUUCUCUGACUGCCCUAUGUCCCCCUGCUGCCACUCUAAUCCCCUCUACCCUGACCUACUUUCUUUUUCCAUACUGUUUUCACUUAAAAUGCCAUAUGAUUUUUUGUUAUUUUGUUUACUGUUUAUUAUUUUUCUCCCCACACUAGAAUGUCAGCUCUACAAAGUGAAAGGAUUUUGUUGUUAUUGCCCCAUUUUGUUCACUGAUGUGUCCCAAGUACCUAACACAGAGUUGGCAUAGUAGGUGCUCAACAACGCUUUGUUGAAUGUUGAAUGGCUGAAAUUUGGGGGGCUUAUAUGCACUGUGGUUAUGCUAAGUGGUUUACAUGUACAGAUAUAUCACCUGACAAUCCUCGAGAAAGAUAAUAUUAUUAACCACAUUUGCAAGUUAAGAAACUGAAGCAGAGAGAGGUGGAUUAACCUGCUGAGGGUCACACAGCUAGUCAAUAAUGAAGCCAGGGUUCAAACUCAAGCAGUAAGAUCUUAGAACACUAGUUCUUGACCACAUGAACUAAAUUUAAACAAGCAAUGCCAAGAAGAGUUUAUAUACUCAACAAGCACAUGCUGCUUAUGAUAGAUAUCAGUUUGUUGUUUCUACAUUCAUUCUUUUCCUGGUAAUUGCACCCGUGUUUCCCUCUAGGGAAUCAUUCCUUCCUCCACUUUCCAUGUGUGGGCUUCUUGUACACUGGACUCCAUUCCUGAGCCAAGUAAAGCAUGUGAUGAGAGAAAGCCAAUCAGCAGCUGGCAUUCCACUGGCCUUGGUGAUUGGCUCAGAAAUGGGCAUGUGACCCAGUCAGAGCUGAGAAUGCUGGGACAAAAUGGCUUCAGUUCUCCUAUUGGACAUGGAGGAGGAUAAACUGUUAAGCAUAAUCCUGGGAGCCUGCAGGGGUGACUCUGCCUGAGAAUAGAGCCGACACAAAAUUCUCAGUCCUAACAGCAGAAAUCCUGAAGACAGAGAGCAAGAAGAAAGAAGAACGUCUCUCCUCUUUGCCUUCCAUCAGACUCAACAUGGCCACCAGCCUACAACUCAACACAACCUGUCUGUUCAACCCUACCUCAGCCUCCCAGCCCGUGUUCCCAGGAGAGGACUCUGACCGACCCUUCACCUCGAUUUAGGCAGUGCUCUUGGCACCAGACUGUGCCAAAUGACUCUCUAGAGAUUGGUUGUCUUUGUGUCAGGCCUUCUGGUCCAAUCAGCUGUGGCUGCAGAGGGAGGGAGGAAGGGUCACAUGGUCCAUGUCCACUUAAUUGGGACUCUGUGCCUAAAUCCCCAAAGACUAGAACAUUCUAGGGAAUGCCACUGAAGUGAAAGCUGUGGAGAAACCUAGGGGUGAGUUGGCCGGCAGGGAGGAGCCAUUCCCCCCAGCUGGCAACAUGGUGCCCUAGAAAAGCCAUCACUCUCCUACCCCCAAUCUAAGGGUAGUGACCUGCCUGCCACUUGCCUGAUUGGCAUUCUUGCAAGAUCCACUCAUUCUGAUCCCACUCUUUUAAUUUCAUCUGGAACAGCAGAGAAAUAAAUAAUUCCAUUAGGCGUUUUUCUGUUACACCUACACAGGCGGCUGAGUGGCAGAAAUCUCUCCAUCGGGCCGUCAGUUUUAUCUCAAGCACUUGGGGCAGAAAAUGGUGGCAAAUAACACGCUGGGAUUGAGAGUAAGAGUGAAGUGCAGCCCUCCAGUCAGAAUGGUAAUUCCUAGAAUUGUGCGUUUGUCUUGACGGCUAUGCUUGCUUCAUUUCAUUAAAAGUUGAAGAAUUUCUCUGAUCAAAAAUAUAGCAAUAUGCUAAGAAAAAAAAUCCUCCCCUCAAAUAACAGCAUGUUAAAAUUUAUUUCCCAGGAGAGAAAACAAAUUUCCAUGAAAUAAAGGAAAGAACUAAUAGACACUCCUUUUCUGAAUAACCAUGGUUUUUGUUUUUUUUUUUUUUCUUGCAAAGAAUGUGCUUUCAGGCAAAUACAUUUGUGUGUCUCUUGAGGUAU
Microcebus murinus (gray mouse lemur) is the source of this 2288-nucleotide non-coding RNA. The record is from RefSeq and is a predicted model, not a curated record. NCBI's taxonomy places the organism in Eukaryota, Metazoa, Chordata, Mammalia, Primates, Cheirogaleidae.